RNAcentral lists this ribosomal RNA (504 nucleotides) under uncultured bacterium. Its description in RNAcentral is "partial 16S ribosomal RNA". It matches the Rfam family "Bacterial small subunit ribosomal RNA", at positions 28 to 507 of the family's 1533-position model. The record is from RNAcentral.
GACGAACGCUGGCGGCGUGCUUAACACAUGCAAGUCGAACGGUGAAGCGCUUGCCUUUUUGGUGGGUGUGGAUGAGUGGCGAACGGGUGAGUAACACGUGAGUAACCUGCCCUCUUCUUCUGGAUAACCUCAUGAAAGUGGGGCUAAUACGGGGUAUUCCGGGUCUGUCGCAUGGCGGGUUUGGGAAAGAUUGCGCCUUUGGGUGUUUUCGGUGGGGGAUGGGCUCGCGGCCUAUCAGCUUGUUGGUGGGGUGAUGGCCUACCAAGGCGGUGACGGGUAGCCGGCCUGAGAGGGUGGACGGCCACACUGGGACUGAGACACGGCCCAGACUCCUGCGGGAGGCAGCAGUGGGGAAUAUUGCACAAUGGGCGCAAGCCUGAUGCAGCGAGGCCGCGUGAGGGAUGGAGGCCUUCGGGUUGUGAACCUCUUUCGCCAGUGAAGCAGGCCUGCUCCUGUGUGGGUGAGUUGACGGUAGCUGGAUAAGAAGCGCCGGCUAACUACGUG